CCUACGGGUGGCAGCAGUGAGGAAUAUUGGUCAAUGGCCGGAAGGCUGAACCAGCCAUGCCGCGUGAAGGUCAGUGCCCUAUGGGCGUUAAACUUCUUUUGUGCGGGAGCAAUAAUGGUCACGUGUGGCCAGACGAGAGUACCGUACGAAUAAGCAUCGGCUAACUCCGUGCCAGCAGCCGCGGUUAUACGGGGGAUGCAAGCGUUAACCGGAUUUAUUGGGUUUAAAGGGUGCGUAGGCUGUGAGGUAAGUCAGCGGUGAAAUGCCCCCGCUCAACGGGGUGAAGUGCCAUUGAUACUGCCUGGCUGGAAUGCUGAUGCCGUGGGAGGAAUGUGUGGUGUAGCGGUGAAAUGCAUAGAUAUCACACAGAACACCGAUUGCGAAGGCAUCUCACGAAUCCGCGAUUGACGCUGAUGCACGAAAGCGUGGGUAUCAAACAGGAUUAGAUACCCCUGUAGUC
This 460-nucleotide ribosomal RNA is filed under the name uncultured bacterium. RNAcentral describes it as "partial 16S ribosomal RNA". It matches the Rfam family "Bacterial small subunit ribosomal RNA", at positions 338 to 795 of the family's 1533-position model. The record is from RNAcentral.